AAGAAAUUUAAUAAUUUUGAAAAUGGAUUUUUUUGUUUUGGCAAGAGCAUGAGAGCUUUUACUGGGCAAGAAGACAAGAGAUGGAGAGUCCAGCCGGGCCUGCGCUUAAGUGCGCGGUCUUGCUAGGCUUGUAAGUUUCUUUCUUGCUAUUCCAAACGGUGAGAGAUUUCUGUGCUUUUGUUAUAGGACAAUUAAAACCGUUUCAAUACAACACACUGUGGAGUUUUCAUAUCUUUGCAACUUUUUCUUUGGGCAUUCGAGCAAUCGGGGCCCAGAGGUAACAAACACAAACAAUUUUAUUUAUUCAUUAAAUUUUUGUCAAAAACAAGAAUUUUCGUAACUGGAAAUUUUAGAAUAUUAA
This 361-nucleotide ribosomal RNA is filed under the name Saccharomyces cerevisiae YJM470. Its description in RNAcentral is "ITS1-23". The record is from RNAcentral. Lineage: Eukaryota; Fungi; Ascomycota; Saccharomycetes; Saccharomycetales; Saccharomycetaceae. RNAcentral also lists the same sequence under 1 other name.